Molecule: long non-coding RNA, 6549 nt
Filed under: Homo sapiens (human)
Lineage: Eukaryota; Metazoa; Chordata; Mammalia; Primates; Hominidae
Description: HSALNT0141238
Source: RNAcentral
CUCACUCCCUUGGAGACCAUCAUUGUCUAAAGCCUGCCAGGUUUCCUCUAAGCUCCCAGAUCUGUCCUCCCAACUCUGAUCCUACCUGCUCCUGCCCUGGCCAGAUGUUCCUUUGUGUCCCUUGAACAAUUUCACUAGUUUUCUAGUCCCCAAUCUUCCCUUUUCUAUGCCUCAUAUGACUGCCAGAAGGUUUUCUUGACACAACCCAAUGAUGUUAUUCUUCCUCUUAAAGCCCAUCAGUGGCUGCCUAUCACUAACAGAUGAGAUCCAAACUCCUUGGCAUGGUGAGCCUAGCCCUUGCCCCACGUGGCACCUUCCUCACAGAUCUCACUGAGCCAUCUGGAGUUCCCCGGGUAUGCCAUACUCUCUCCUGCUUUUUGUCUUUGUUCAGGUCUGGGUCUCCUCCUUUCCUCAUUACCUGGCUGGAUAACUCUUGCUUGCCCUCUAAAUCUCUCCUGAAGCUCUGCUCCGUGAAGCCUCCCAGCCACUCUGCACACCAACAUCCCUGUGAGCCCUGGAUGCCUUGGCCACACUCCAGGGUGUCGUCUGUCCAUCACUCUGAAUUGUAAUUGUCUGUGCUUCCCAUUGGACCAGGGGCUCUGUGAGGAGCAAAGGAAAGCACACCACAAGAGCCAGAGGGAGAGAGCUUGGCAGAACUCUGGAGGGAGCCUUUCCAAGACCUGCUUUUAGUGGAAGCUACAAAACCUCCUGGGAGGAGACUGAAUUCCAUGUUGGUGUUGCACUAUUGCUUUAAAGUGCCACCCUUUCCCUGGGACCAGCAGACAAUUGUACCCAUUAUUUUCUGGUUCUAAGGAAGGAUAAACUUCCUUCUAAGGCUUCAGGGAUGACAGAUGCCUUCUUGGGUAAAGGCUGAGAAGUCCAAGGUCGAGGGCCUGCAUCUGGUGAUGGCCUUCUUACUGGUGGGGACUCUGAAGCAUCCUGAGGUAGGCAGGGCAUCACAUGGUUGGAGCAGAAGGAACAGCCAGGGAAAUGCAUCCAUUUAACCUUCCAGACUCUGGAGUCCACCUUCUUUGUUUUAAGUAAAUUUUAGAUGCAGAGGCCAUGAACUCAGCUUAUAAUCAGCCUUAUUGCUCAUUCACUUAUUCCAUAUUCAAGAUAUUUAAUGCUCAUAUUGCUCUGACAACAUGCCAAGGAUCUUCAGCUGACACCUCCCUGCAUACUCUACUGGGUGAUAUCUCUUCUGAUUUGUUUUUGUGACUGUUCUGAUUAGUUGGACUCAUGCUAUACAGGUUAUUCAAUAUUUUGAAUAACAUCCUUGACUUAUAAAAUUGUAAUGGGAUAAUAGUUUAUAGUAUCAACCAAGGUUUGUUUGUUUGUUUUCUUUUUCCCUCAAGAAUCUCAUUAUAUUCCUGAUACUUCCUCAAUCAAUGUGUAAGAGCAUUCCAGCCUAUGGUAUUAGUCAGGAUAGGCCAGACUGUGCUGCAAUAAUAAACAGCUGCAAAAAUCUCAAUGGUUAAACACACAAUAGUUUAUUUCUCAUUCAUGCUACAUGUUCAUUGUGGGUCAGUGAAGGACUUUGCGCCAUAUAGUCACUCAGGACUCAGGCUAAAGCAGGUGCCGUCACCUUGUAGCUGUAUCAUUUGAGUGCAUGUCCUCCUUGAUAGGCACAGCAGAAGAAAGCACAUAAAAUUGUACAUGGAUGUAGGUAUGUGGCAGUCAUUAUUUUCACCCAUAUUUCAUGGCCAGAACUGGUCAAGUGGCCCUGCCUAACUGCAAGUGCUGGGCAAUGUAAGAGACCAAAUGGAAGUUUUGCCUCAUGGGAAAAAAGACUCAGCAAAUGUGCUGAGAAAAGAAAAAAGUGUCAACUGAGUUUUAAAAUAAACUAUCAAAACAUUUGGUAAUGAGCAUAUCUUGGAGACAAAAAAAUAUGAAAUUACAAGUACCAGGCUUUGAGCCUCAGAAACCAUACCUAAAGAACUCAAGAGCAAAACAUAUAUAUUUAUAAAUAUAAACAAGAGAUAAAAUACGUGAAGAGUUCUAAUGAUUGCUGGAAAAGAGAGAUAAGUCCGAGAGAAGAGUAAUGGGGUUAGAAACUCGUAUACAACUCUGCAAAGGGUCCUCCUGGGUUGAGACCCAGGGUCAGGGUAUGCAUGUUAAAAAUCCUGAGUAGGUUUGGUAAUAUUCAGGAGCAGGAGCAGAGCAGACCUGGACCUCUCUUCCCAGGAGAGUCUUGUGGAUAAGUCUCUUAUGAGAGUAUGGGUAUGACAAGCUAGAAAUGGCAGCCUAUGUGUCCAGGAGGAAAUGGUCUGAGAUAGGCUAUAUUAGUCCAUUCUCACACUGCUAUAAAGAAUACCUGAGACUGGGUAAUUUAUGAAGGAAGGAGGUUUAAUUGACUCACAGUUCCACAUGGCUGGGGAGGCCUCAGGAAACUUACAAUCAUGGUGGAAGGUGAAGGGGAAGUAAGUGCCUUCUUCACAAGAUGGCAGGAGAGAGAGAGUGCAAGGAAAACUGCCACUUUUAAACCAUCAGAUCGCGUGAGAACUCCCUCACUAUCACAAGAACAGCAUGGGGGAAACCACCCCCAUGAUCCAAUCAGCUCCCACCGGGUCUCUCCCUCAACACGUGGGGAUCACAAUUGGAGAUGAGAUUUGGGUGGGGACACAGAGCCAAACCAUAUCAUAGGCCUUUGCAUUUCUCAUUUCCUAAGAGAGCACAAACAAACAUCCAAAAGUUUCUGGGAUUCCCCAAGGAAGUGUCAGAUGCCCAAGGGAGAGGGCUAGAGAACCUGAGAGGGCCUUGUGCUUAGGAUAAGGGGGAUGCAGGGUGUGGGAAAAGACAGAUGACCAGGGAGCAGAUGGAAAACUCAGAUGCCACAGAGACACCAGCAGGGAAGACUAAUGACUGGACCUGCAGGGCCAUGAGGAUCUUGAGGACAGAUGACUAAGAACCAGAUCUGCCCUCCUCUCAGAUUCUUGGACACUCUUGACAUCCUUGCUUUAAUGUGCAGCCUCUUAACCUGUGAUCAAACUCUCCUCCAUCCCUGACCCCUAUGUGCCUCAGUCCCAGGACUGGGUCCUGGUCUCAGUUCUUGCCCACAUGCAGGACUCACUGGCAUUUGUUGAUGUAUCAGACACACCUGGACUGCUUCAGACUCUCUCAACCUCAUCUAUCUUCGGGACCCUUGGGGACUAGAGCCCAGAGUCUCUGGGUCCAUACAUCACUUUUGGCCUCAGAUGAAGUGCCACACCAAAGGGGGUGGAGUCUGGCUUCCUUGGUGACUACGUGAUGAAUCCCCAAAGUAGAAGGGAGGUAACUCUGAAUCCCCAAAGUAGAAGGGAGGUAACUCCUCUUGGGGCACACUUUGACCAAGGCGAAGCAUGUUACAGUGUAAACGGAUGGACUAAAUACUUCUGUAUUCCUCUCAGUGAGGGACUGUUCUGAAGGGUAAUGUUCUUCUACAGCUUACCUGGAGAUGUCUCCCAUGGCCAGGUGGCUGGCUGUAUCUGUGAAGCAGUGGGCCUCUCAGUAGCACUACUCUAUAUUGGCUUCUUACUCUUCCCUGCCUUUCUUUCCUUUCCCCUCAUUUUCCCAGCCCUAGGGUUUUCUUGCAAUAAAGCAUUGCACUUAAGCUUUGUCUCAGCCUGUUUUCUAGGGAAGGUAGGCUAAGACAUUUGAAGAUGUCCCAUGUGUCGGGAAGUGUAUGAGGUAAUUUCACAUAUGUGAUUCCAUUUCACCUUUACAACAACCUUGGGCAGGGAGGGCAUGACUUGACAAGGUCACCCAUGAGCAAAGAGUGGAACUCAAAUAUUUUUCAUUGAAAAAGCAGUUACUGACCAUGUUCUAGGCAUCGGGAAUACUGUGGUGAACCAUUCAGACACAGCUGCUACUCUUGUGAAACUUAUGGUCUGCUGGAGGAGGGCACAUAAUAACAAGUAAACAAAUCCAUAAACAAGAUAAUUGCAUAAUGUGCCAAGUUCUAGGGAGACAAAUAAGGCUAUGUGAUAGAGUGUGACUGGGAGAGGGGACACUUUUUUUCCAUGUAGUAUUGAGGGAAGGCCUCUCUGAGGAUGUGACACAAGGGCUGAGGCCUAAAUGAUCAGGCAGCCAUGGAAAGUUUUGGAGGAAAUGUUUUCCAGGCAGAGAAAACAGCAAGUACAAACACCUUUAGGCAGGAACGAGCUUGGAGAGUUUGGGAAGGAAGACCAGUGAUUUUUUUCAUCAUACUAUGCUUGGCCUAGGGUCUGGCUUUGAACAUUCCAGGCAUGGCAGUGACAGUGAUACUUGUAUUCGUUAUCUAUUGCUGCAUGACAAGGUAUCCCAAAACUGAGUGGCUGAAAAAAGCAACAAUCAUUUUUUUCAUGGUUUCUGUGGGUGAGGAACUUAGGAGCAGCUUAACUGGUCAGUUCUUGUGUAGGUUCUCUCAUGAGGCUGCAGUCAGGAUAUAGGCUAUGGCUAUAUCAUCCGAAGACUUGACUGGGGCCAAAAAAUUUGUUUCUAAGAUGACUCAGUCACAUGGUUGGUUAGUGUUAGCUGUUGGUGAACAGCCCCAGUUCCUCCCUAACUGGGCCCCUCCAGAGGACUCUAGUUUCCUCUUGACACGCGACUGGCUUUCCCCAGAGUAAGUGAUCCAAGAGAGUAGGGCAGACACCACAUUGUCUUUGAUGGUCUAUCUUUGGAAGCCAUAUACCAUCAUUUCUGUAUUGUUCUUUUAGCCACGCAGACCUGCCCUGAAACAGUGUAGGAGGAUACUACCCAAGAUUGUAAACACCAGAUGACAAGGAUUGGGGCCAUAUUGAAGACUGCUUACCACAGUGCCCAAAUGCUGUAACAAUAUCUAGUUUGAUGUGCUCUCUUCCCUCUCUUGGUUUGCCUUCAUUCACAAACUAUCCCUAUAUAGGAAGAUGGAUCUCAAAAGCUCCAGGCUUCUACAUUUCAAGUCUAAAAUAAAGGGCCUUAUUUUUCCCAAUAUCUCCAAGAAAAUCCCUGGAAUUGAAUCCCAUUGACUUUGAGUACAUGCUAUCAUUUCUGCAUUAUUCUGUUGGCCACACAGAUCAACUCUGAAACAGUGAAGGAUACUGCCCAAGAUCGUUGGGUGUGAAGAUUGUUCAUCAAGAUAAUUGGCUUGAUCCAUUUCUUGCUCAAUGUCUAUGACUGGGGGGAAGGGUGGGGUCAACCCCACCAAAGUCACAUGGACUGAGAGUCGAGGAGAUGCAGUGUCCUCAAAGGAAAACUAGGGUUUUAUUAUGAGAAGAAAGUAGAAUGGAUAGCGGGUGGGUGGAAAUAGCAGGUGUGUGUACUACACCUAUAAUCAGGAUCUCUCCUCCCCUUCAUCCUUAUCCAAGUUGGCCCUUAGAAAAAUGGAAAUAAUUUGAAAAGUUCACUUUGAUUGAGGUACUAAAACAACCAAUGUCACAUUAAGAGUUACUCUUCUUUGCAUUUGAAAAGGGAAUAUGAUUUUAUUCCCAAAGAAUGAAACUAUGAUGAGGUAAUUUCAGGCAUUCAUAAAAACGACAUGGUAGUCUUUUGGGAUAGGGAAGUGAAAGUGUCCUGAUGCCUCUCAAAUCAGGCUAUAUCUACAGUCAUAUUGCCAACCACCCUGCAUCUAUCUUAUGUCACUUUUUAAAAAUAGUUUUACUGAGGUAUGCUUGAUGUACAAUUACUCAUAUUUAAAGCAUAUGAGUUGAUAAAUUUUAAAUAUGCAUACAUCCAGAAACCAAUCAAUAAAAUCUCUGUUGUUAUUAGCUGUGUAAACAUUUAGAAUUGUUAUGUCCUCUAGGUGAAUUCACCACUUUAUCAUUAAAAAAUGACCUUGUUUUUUCUUUUUUUUUAGAGACAGGGUUUCACUCUAUCAUGCAGGCUGGAAUCCAGGUAUGCCAUCAUUGCUUACUGCAGCCUUGACCUCCUGGGUUCAAGCGAUCCUCCUGUCUCAGCCUCCUGAGUGGCUGGGACUAUAGGUUUGCAUCACCAUGCCCAGCUAUUUUUUUAAAUUUUUGUUUGUAUUUUGUAGAGACAGGGGUCUCUCUAUGUUGCCCACGCUGGUCUUGAACUCCUGGCCUCAAGAGACCUUUCUGCCUCCCAAAGUGCUAGGAAAUACAGGUGUGAACCACUGGACCUGGCCAGAAAUGACUUUUUAAAAUCCCUGGUAAUAUUCUUUGCUCUUAAAUAUACGCUAUCUGAUAUGAAUACAGCACUUACUUUAUUCCCAGCAUUGUUCCAACCACACGCCAUUGCAUGCAUUGCUUCAUCAAACUUCAGCAGUAACCUUACAAGCAAGGUGUAGGGAAUUUAGGUAGUUUGUUCAAGAUCAAGGUUUGAACCUGACUUUAGAAUCCACCUUAUUCACCAAUACAACAUUAAAAGGAACUGUAUCGAGCCAUGGAAUUAAAAUAAAACAAUUAUAAUACUUUGAGAAUGAGGCAUUUCAUGUCAGAAUAUCAGAUAAAGAUAGCCAGGCAAAGUUACCUCUGCUCUCUGAAUGCAGUAUUUUUCUUUUGAAAACUCACGCACAAGAACCCCCUUGGAGGCUUGCUUGCUUUGACAGCUCAUAGAGGUUAUUCACUCAGCUUUUAGUCCUCUACUUCCUCAGAC